AAAGAGCUGACAGACUUCAGCUCUUGGGCAUAAAUUGCUUGCUCAGGUUGCAUAGAACAUUUCUGUUGGCAAAAAGUGUUACAAAAGGUGGGGUCAGAUCCUAGAAGGGGCCUGGAAACAGAUCUUGCUACCCAGUGUGGAAUUAUUGCUCAAGUGCUGCUGAUGGGUGAAGCAAGGCCAGCAUUAACAGCCUGCCUGCAUAGCAUGCGCAAGACCCAAGUAAAGAAAGGUAAAAAAAUAGCACAUACGGAAAGCAAAAUGUGAAUUUUCAGAUUAGAGGAGGAAAACAUGAGGAAAAGCAUAAACAAUGUGUUAGAAAAGCUGAAUCUCUGUUUGGGAUCUUACAAAGUUUGGAGUACAAGACUGUAGCAGGCCUAGGCCCUGCAAGGCGUCCUUGGAGGCCUGAGCUAGGAAAUGCCAAGUCAGCAUGACUGGACCCUGGCAGCCCCUUUCUUCUGCCUUUCAGACCCUGCUUAUCUCUCUGUAAGCCCAUGGGUCACUUUCCCCUGACCCUUACUAUUGGACAGUUUUCAAAACCCCUGUAGGGUAUAAAACCCCCUGAUUCUGCCUGGUUCGGCAGAAGAGCUGUCACUGGGAACUUUCGCGGAAGACCCGAAUAAAGAACCCUGCGGAACCUCAUACGGCGAUUCUCCUCUCUCUCCCUGCGUCUGCUGCUGUGGCACCUAGCAAGCUAAAGAGCUGGAAAUCACUGAGUUGAUAAUCACUAAGAGCUGAAAAUCACUAUAGCUUGCUUAGGUGGCCUGAGCUCCUGCUGAGUUAUCCUGGCUCCGGCACCCCACUGGGCUCAGCCAGGUAGGGAGCUGCCGUGAUACAAGACUGAAAAAUGAGGGAUUCAGGUUUUCCUAGAUCUCUUUGAAAAACCUAAUUGGACCCAGCCUAGGUUUGUGUCUAAACUGAACUUGGAAAGCCAAAACAGCCAAGGCAGCCAUAGGGGCUCCCUGUGUUGAGUAUGAGGGACACAGACAAAAGGAGGAUGUCACUGUUGUACAGGGCUGCAUCUACUGAGUCCCCAGAGAGGCUGUGCAGCUCAGCAUGGAGGAGCAGCCACAGGCUGGUGACGAGAAAACAAGCUCUUCACAUACAUCCUGGCAUCCCCACUGUCCCACAGUAGGUGGGAAUAGAUCAUCAUUCUGAGGACACUGCUCUGGGACACCCACACUGCGGUCAUCUCACUGUGAGGGGAUGUUGCUGGUAUCAAUUCACAAAUGCAGCUCCUUAUCUGGUACAACUAUAUUCUGGUUCUAAAAUUAGCUCCAGAGCAUAGCAAAGUAGCAAUGGUGUGGAUGUGAUCUGCCUGCUUUCAACCAUUGUGAGGCUGAAUACAGGCUAAAGGACUCAUGCCCAUGCAUUAUGACGCCAGUUAAAUCUACUAAACUGCCUUGAACAAACCAUCACUACACGGAUCUGAUGAAUUGGCUGCCUGUCAGUCAACAGAUCCUUGUGUUCUCCUGAUACACCCCGCAACUCACCAAAAACUUCAGUGGGUCCUUUCAGGAGAACCACCUCAAGACACAAUGCAUUGUACUCUGAGCCAUGAGGAAAGGCUGAGAGAAUUGGGAUUGUUCAGACUGAAGAAGAGAAAGCUUGGGGUGACCUCAUUGUGCCCUUCCAGUGCCUGAAGGGAACCCACAGGAAAGAUGGAGAGAUACUCUUGACAAGGGCCUGGCGUGACAGGGCAAGGAGCAAUGGCUUCACGCUGACAGAGAGGAGGUUUAGAUUGGAUAUCAAAAAGAAGUUGUUCCCUCUGAGGGAGGUGACGCCCUGGCACAGGUUGCCCAGAGAAGCUGUGUCUUCCCCUGGAUCCCUGGCAGUGUCCAAGGCCAGGCUGGAUGGGGCUCUGAGCAACUCUGAGCAAGAGGAAGGUGUCCCUGCUCUGGCAGGGGGGUUGGAACAAGAUGAUCUUUUAAGGUGAACAACCCAGGCCAUGACCAACCCAGGCAGGGUUGGUCUGACAGGGGGUUUGAACAAGAUGAUCUUUAAGUCCCCUUCCAACCCAGGCCAUUCUGAGAUUGUAUGAGUCUAUGAAGUAGAUUAUUUAAUCUAUAAAAAGUUCUGAUCAGCAGAAGCAUCUCUGAGUCUGCCCUCCCAAGGGGAUCUUCAUUAUGAUGGCCAGGCUGAAGGAUGCUGAAGAUUUGACCUGUACUGAUGGUUUGGAAGGUAUGUGCAGUGUAUCAGCUGCUACUACUGAACUUGGUUGGGUCAUAUGUGGGACCAGUAUGGGACCAUAGUGUGGGUCCAUCCUGACAACAUCCUGACACUUUCCCUUGGAACAGAUGACUCUGAGAAGCACUGUGCGAGCAGAAUGCAGUAGAACGAAGUUGUGGGGAUGAAUCCAGCUCUUCUGCUGCAGCUGUCGCACAAUGGCAGCCUCAUCAGCUGCAGGAAAUUCAGAGAGAAACCACGUGACUGUGCACUGGAUAUGCUGGCACUGAUGAGGAGGGGCAUGUCCUCUUCCACCUGGGACAGAAACAGCAUCAGAUGUUGAAGCAGGGAGUGACUGUCACAAUUAGGGGGAAAUGCUGGACAACACAGGUGCACAGGCAUCCAAAUGCAAUCCCACUGCUCCAGGGUAACGACUUGUCCUGUGGGAUGACACCGAAGGAGUGCACACUGGCGGCCUGCAGAGCCAUCUCUUACACUCACAUUGUUAUAAACUCAGAAAAGCAGCCCUAGCCUUUUGAGGAAUAACCACAAUGGGCACAAUGGGAGAAAAAAGCAAUCUUAUCUGCUCAUUCCCAUGAAACUAGUCAGAUGCAGACAUGGAACUCAGUGCUGUGCCCUCAGAUACUGCUUCACAUUGGGAACUGAAGGAUGUCAGCCACAAGCAGCUGUGACAGCUUUUUACGCAAGCCAAUUGGUAAAUUGAUGGCAUGUAGUGACAGAGAUCCAGUUCAGCCUCAAAAUAUCUUGAGUGGCGGCAAGAGGAGAGUGAGCCACAUGCUGCUGUCAGCUGUGCGACCACAGCUGGAGACCCCGGGUUUUGCCAAGCUGUCAGCCAUAUGGCAAGUGAGGCACAGAACCAUUCAUCUGCAUUCCCACAAUAAACAUCUCUGGAUAUCGCAAGCACGGGGCCAUGUCAGCACUCACCAGACUUCACUACACUUCGUUCUAGCAAAAGCCAAAUCUGCACACACAUUGUGCUUGCACCUGUAGUUGUUCAGAUCUGAUCCUGACCUUCCCUAUGAUAGAUAAGGAAACAUUGUUACUCCUAAUGGCAAUAACACUCCAGUCUCAGAUCUUCUUUUGGAGUACCACUGCAUCUAGAAAAAUUUCCAGCCUGUUCCCUCUCCUAUUAAAGCUAUUGACAAGAAUACACACAGGAGAAGACAGGUGAAACUAACAGGGUCCUUUCCCCUCUGAAGAAUAACUGGAGGAAGAGAUACUGUGGUGAUAAAACCCAUUAAUGAGAGAGAAAAGGCAAGGUGUGAGUGAUGUGGCUGUUGCCCUCGGCUCUGUCACUAAAGCCAAAACCUCACAGGAGCACAGAAGUCAGGGAGGCUUUGUUCCACAAGUGGUGCCAGAAGGGGACAACCUUGCUGCAAUAAGAAGGAAUAAGAAGGCAGAGGUGACAAUGGAUAAGAAGAGCAGCAUCCCUUGAGUGUAGGACUGAAAUUCAGCUGAGAACUGGAACUGGAUGUCAAGCCAUAAUCACUAGGAAGGCAGAAAAGUGACUGAGACAGAGCCCAGCUCUGAACCAGUGCAGACAUUCUGAUGUUGUUAGGUUUUUAUAAAUAUUGAUGAUGAUGAUUUCCUGAAGAUGGAGCAUGGCAGGAAACAACUGGUUGAGCAAAUGUUACUUCUAUGAAUGGUCUCACAGAUGUAAACCAAAUGAAUUUCUGAGCCGUCUCAUUCUUCAAGAGUUUGCAGACCCAAGAUCUUAACUGUUUAAUUCAAUUGUGAGACACUGCAUAUGAAGCUUGACCAUAUGUGCCUCUUUUUAAAACUGCACUCCACCUAUUAAGAAAAUACAUUUUUGUCUAUGCUGCAGCAUUUUCUGAACAUUUGAUUCACUACUGUGCCCCACUGAAAUCAGGCAAUCUACAGUGCACUCAGCAGGUGUGAAAUCUUAUCAGAAUUGUGUAGCAGCACUAAAGUGUCAUAAAACAUAUUAAAGCAUUUGGGGUUUUUCCCUGGCCUUCUACCUGUUGAAUAGAAAAAAACAUAGAUUUCUGUUAUUCAGACAGACCAGGGAGCUACAAGUAAAAUCUGGAUUACAAGUAGUAUCAACAGCAGCUAAAAAGGUCCUAACAAACCAGCAGAAAAUUUGUGGGAAUGUUUCUGAAUGGCUUGCACUAUGCUUACCUAGCUCUGCAUUAUUUUCUGACCAAUCUCAAGUGUUCAGGAUUUUUUUCUGUCUUAUUCUUAAGAAAUACACCUGGGAUGUAUUAGGAAAACAGUAAGAAGGAAAGUCAGAAUUGAUUCCUAAAUGUUGAUUAAGUAGUUAGAUGCAAACUACUUGUGAAUUAAACAUUUCUAGGUUAUUUCUGAGAGGGAGCUUUCAUGGUUAAAACACCCUCUGAAUCUUUCCAAGAGACAUCUCCAGCAUGACUCUGAUACAGUAAUUUGGAUUUGUUACAGCAAUUGACUGCAAAGAAAGAAAUGUCAAACCCUCACAUCAAUGUCCUUUCUCUGGCAAGCUCUCCCUCCUUUGAUCUGCAAUAACAGGGACAUUGUUUUGCUUUGCCACAGACGUUCCCCGAAGUUUUCUGAAGGCUUCAGAAGUUCGGUGGAAUUUGCAAGAUGUAUUUGGGCUUUUAUGUUUGCCUUUAAUUGCUGCGUCCCGGGGUGGAUCCUGCUGCUGCUGCAGCGAGGCCGCCGGAGCAGAGGGCACAAGACCCUGGCUGAUUGUCACAGCCUGCAGGAGUGGCACAGCACACAGCCUGCAGGAGGUUGCAUACUCAGAGCAAAGAUUCUGUUUCAAAAUGUUUGUCUAACUCCUAUGCCUGGCAGCUUAAAGAGCUGCUGCCCUUCUCCACGGUGAAUGGGCGCUUAUAUUUUUAUAUUAUGGGCUAACUCUGGAAAUAUACAGAAACAAAAAUUUAUUGGGCUGUUGGUAAUGGUUACACUGUGUCACAUUUUGGGUUAAAACCUUAGGUAUUUCUGUCAGCUCUCCUUCAACAACAAACAAAUUCAUCUGCUUGAUUUGGCUCUACCAUGGUUCAUUUCAGGAUGAGCAUUUGGUUGUAAGUUUCUUUAGGUGUGCAAACCUUCAAACACUACGGACAACUCCAAUAUUCAAGAGGCACCAGCCCACUAACUUCAACUGCUACAGUAGUGAGCCCAUUAAUCACACUUUUAUAGCAGUGAGAUAACCUUCUAUGCAUACAGCUCUGUUAAAAAUAUAUAUUUAAAAUUAGAAAAUUAAAAUAAACCAUGUGUGUUUUGCGA
Passer domesticus (house sparrow) is the source of this 5409-nucleotide long non-coding RNA. RefSeq lists it as uncharacterized. The record is from RefSeq and is a predicted model, not a curated record. The transcript has 4 exons. NCBI's taxonomy places the organism in Eukaryota, Metazoa, Chordata, Aves, Passeriformes, Passeridae.